This 253-nucleotide ribosomal RNA is filed under the name uncultured bacterium. RNAcentral's name for it is "partial 16S ribosomal RNA". It matches the Rfam family "Bacterial small subunit ribosomal RNA", at positions 524 to 776 of the family's 1533-position model. The record is from RNAcentral.
UACAGAGACUGCAAGCGUUAUUCGGAUUCACUGGGCGUAAAGGGUGCGCAGGCGGUUGGGUGUGUCAGAUGUGAAACCCCGAGGCUUAACCUCGGAACUGCGUCUGAAACUACUCGACUAGAGUACUGGAGAGGGAAACGGAAUUCACGGUGUAGCAGUGAAAUGCGUAGAUAUCGUGAGGAACACCAGAGGCGAAGGCGGUUUCCUGGACAGUUACUGACGCUCAGGCACGAAAGCAUGGGGAGCAAAAGGG